GACGAACGCUGGCGGCAUGCCUAACACAUGCAAGUCGAGCGGUAAGGCCCUUCGGGGUACACGAGUGGCGAACGGGUGAGUAACACGUGGGUGAUCUGCCCUGCACUUCGGGAUAAGCCUGGGAAACUGGGUCUAAUACCGGAUAGGACUCCUGGCUUCAUGGUUGGGGGUGGAAAGCUUUUGCGGUGUGGGAUGGGCCCGCGUCCUAUCAGCUUGUUGGUGGGGUAAUGGCCUACCGAGGCGACGACGGGUAGCCGGCCUGAGAGGGUGACCGGUCACACUGGGACUGAGAUACGGCCCAGACUGCUACGGGAGGCAGCGGUGGGGAAUAUUGCACAAUGGGCGCAAGCCUGAUGCAGCGACGCCGCGUGAGGGAUGACGGCCUUCGGGUUGUAAACCUCUUUCAGCUAUGACGAAGCGCAAGUGACGGUAGUAGCAGAAGAAGGACCGGCCAACUACGUGCCAGCCGCCGCUGUAA
Molecule: ribosomal RNA, 478 nt
Filed under: uncultured bacterium
Lineage: Bacteria
Description: partial 16S ribosomal RNA
Rfam family: Bacterial small subunit ribosomal RNA
Source: RNAcentral